Molecule: long non-coding RNA, 228 nt
Filed under: Mytilus galloprovincialis (Mediterranean mussel)
Lineage: Eukaryota; Metazoa; Mollusca; Bivalvia; Mytilida; Mytilidae
Source: RNAcentral
GUGGAUUUAUAAAUAUACAGAUAACACCGUGAUUGGACAGUGUGAAAUAUGGACAAUUAUAUUCAGUGAAAUGACUGUUGGAAGUAUAUAGUUAUAACAAUUAGAAAUUUUAAAUGUUCGCCUCACAUCCCAUGUACAGUGUAAAAUUCGUUGGAAGUAGAUCAACCGACAGGACUUGGUAUUACCAGCAUGACCAAUGUAAAUAUUAGUAUAAGUAGUGUAGGAGUU